RNAcentral lists this ribosomal RNA (469 nucleotides) under uncultured bacterium. RNAcentral describes it as "bacterial SSU rRNA". It matches the Rfam family "Bacterial small subunit ribosomal RNA", at positions 329 to 794 of the family's 1533-position model. The record is from RNAcentral.
AGCCAGACUCCUACGGGAGGCAGCAGUGAGGAAUAUUGGUCAAUGGGCGAGAGCCUGAACCAGCCAAGUCGCGUGAGGGACGACGGCCCUACGGGUUGUAAACCUCUUUUGCCGGGGGACAAACGGCGGCACGCGUGCCGUCCUGAGGGUACCCGGAGAAAAAGCAUCGGCUAACUCCGUGCCAGCAGCCGCGGUAAUACGGAGGAUGCGAGCGUUGUUCGGAAUGACUGGGCGUAAAGGGUGCGUAGGCGGUGUAGCAAGUUAGAAGUGAAAUACCUAGAGCUUAACUCAGGUGCUGCUUCUAAAACUGCUAUACUUGAGUGCAGUAGAGGAAAGUGGAAUUCCUAGUGUAGCGGUGGAAUGCGUAGAUAUUAGGAGGAACAUCAGUGGCGAAGGCGACUUUCUGGACUGUAACUGACGCUGAGGCACGAAAGUGUGGGGAGCAAACAGGAUUAGAUACCCCGGUAGA